This 369-nucleotide ribosomal RNA is filed under the name uncultured bacterium. Its description in RNAcentral is "bacterial SSU rRNA". It matches the Rfam family "Bacterial small subunit ribosomal RNA", at positions 29 to 424 of the family's 1533-position model. The record is from RNAcentral.
AGCGAACGCUGGCGGCAGGCCUAACACAUGCAAGUCGAACGAACCCUUCGGGGUUAGUGGCGGACGGGUGAGUAACACGUGGGAACGUACCUUUAGGUUCGGAACAACACAGGGAAACUUGUGCUAAUGCCGAAUGUGCCCUUCGGGGAAGGAUUAUCGCCUUUAGUAGCGGCCCGCGUCUGAUUAGCUUGUUGGUGAGGUAAAGGACUCACCAAGGCUUCGAUCAGUAGCUGGUCUGAGAGGANGAUCAGCCACACUGGGACUGAGACACGGCCCAGACUCCUACGGGAGGCAGCAGUGGGGAAUCUUGCGCAAUGGGCGGAAAGCCUGACGCAGCCAUGCCGCGUGAAUGAUGAAGGUCUUAGGAUU